AUGUCAAGUGAUGUUUCUUCUCCAGCCACCGAGCAGGAGAGAAGCAAUCGGUUUGAGGGAACCCGCCUGGUCGUGUUUCGCGGGACCAGGGGAAGUCGCCGAGGAGGGAGUGGGCGAGAGGAGACUCAGCAUUGCUCUCCACCAUGGCCCCCCUUCGACUCGGGGCUCAUGUGGGAGCGACCAGAGCUGCCGUCUUUCCAUGGCGGAUGGAGAAAGCCAGCGCCACGACCCAUGAUGGCCGCCGGUCCAGUGCCACUGCACAAGAUGGCCGCCAGCCCAGCGCCACGAGGCAAGAUGGAAGCCAGCCCCGCACCACAUCACAAGAUGGCCACCAGCUCAGCAGCACGAGGCAACAUGGCUGCCAACCCAGCACCACGAAGCAAGAUGGCCGCCAGCCCAGCACCACGAGGCAAUAUGGACGCCAGCACAAUGCCACAGCACAAGGUGGUCACCAAUCCAGUGCCACGAUGCAGGAUGGCCGCCUGCUCAGCGCCAACGCCCAAGAUGGCCGCUGACUCAUUCUUGGAGUAUUUCUCCAUGCUGUCAAGGAUCCUAGAAAUUCCCAAGACUGUUCACGUCACGGCUGCUGAGCCAGCGUCACAACCCAAGAUGGCCGCCAAUCCAGCACCACAGCACAAGAUGGCUGCCGGUCCAGUGCCACAGUGCAAGAUGGCCACUCACCCAGCACCAAUGCCCAAGUUGGCCACCAGUCCAGAGUCAUGGCCCAAGAUGGCUGCUUGCCCAACGCCGCUGCACAGGAUGACAGUCACAGCUGACCCUCUGGAGUCGAGUCAGGUUCCAGUUGACUCUCCAGAGUCAAGUCAGGUUCCAGUGAACCCUCCAGAGUCGAGUCAGGUUCCAGUGAACCCUCCAGAGUCGAGUCAGGUUCCAGUGAACCCUCCAGAGUCGAGUCAGGUUCCAGUGAACUCUCCAGAGUCGAGUCAGGUUCCAGUGUACUCUCCAGAGUCGAGUCAGUUUCCAGUGAACUCUCCAGAGUCGAGUCAGGUUCCUGUUGACCCCCCAGAGUCGAGUCAGGUAUUCGUGGACCCUUCAGAGUCAGGGCUAGUCACCGAUGACCUUCCAGAGUCAGGGCUAGUCACCGAUGACCCUCCAGAUUCAGGGCUAGUCACCGAUGACCUUCCAGAGCCAGGGCUAGGUACCAUGGACUUUCCAGAGACAAGGCUGGUCACCGUUGACCUUUCAGAGUCAAGUCAAGUCACUGGUGAUCUUCAAGGACUGUGUCAAGUCAAGGGUGAUCUUCUAGUACUGAGUCAAGUCACGGGUGAUCUUCUAGGACUGAGUCAAGUCACUGGUGAUCUUCAUGAACAAUGGCAAGUCACCAUUGAUCUUCAUGAGCAAAUACAAGUCACCAAUGAUCUUCGGGUGAUCUUCUAG
RNAcentral lists this long non-coding RNA (1395 nucleotides) under Carassius auratus (goldfish). Its description in RNAcentral is "lncRNA (ENSCARG00000041106.1)". Lineage: Eukaryota; Metazoa; Chordata; Actinopteri; Cypriniformes; Cyprinidae. The record is from RNAcentral.